UCAAGAGAGGAAAGGGCGUACGGUGGAUGCCUAGGCACCAGGAGCCGAGGAAGGGCGCGGCAAGCGGCGAAACGCCCCGGGGAGCCGCAAGCGGGCGUAGAUCCGGGGGUACCCGAAUGGGGGAACCCACCCGAGGGAAUGCUCGGGUAUUCACUGGUGAACACAUAGCCAGUGGAGGGGAACCGGGCGAACUGAAACAUCUAAGUAGCCCGAGGAAAAGAAAGAAAAGAUCGAUUCCCUAAGUAGCGGCGAGCGAAAGGGGAGGAGCCCAAACCAUGCGAGUGUAGGAGGCCAAGGCUGAUGCUUGCAUGGGGUAAGGCACAUACCGGGGUAGGGCCUUGGACCUACCAGUGAUGUAGUAGAGCUAGCCGAAUGGUACUGGGAAGGCCAGCCGGAGAGGGUGAGAGCCCCGUAGGCGAAAGCUUUAGUACAUCACGAGGUAUGUAGCCAGAGUACCACGGGAUAGGCGACCCUGUGGGAAGGAGGGAGGACCACCUCCCAAGGCUAAAUACUACCUGGUGACCGAUAGCGGAUAGUACCGUGAGGGAAAGGUGAAAAGGACCCCGGGAGGGGAGUGAAAGAGAACCUGAAACCGUACGCUUACAAGCAGUCAGAGCCUAGCGUAAGCUAGGUGAUGGCGUACUUUUUGUAGAACGGGCCGGCGAGUUACGGUAGCAAGCGAGGUUAAGGGAUUAAGGCCUGGAGCCGAAGCGAAAGCGAGUCCGAAGAGGGCGUAAGUUUGCUGCCGUAGACCCGAAACCGUGCGAGCUACCCAUGGCCAGGGUGAAGCCGGAGUAAGAUCUGGUGGAGGCCCGAACCACGUUGGCGUUGAAAAGCCAUGGGAUGAGCUGUGGGUAGGGGUGAAAUGCCAAGCGAGCACGGAGAUAGCUGGUUCUCCCCGAAAUAGCUUUAGGGCUAGCCUCAGGGAAGAGGCCUAUGGAGGUAGAGCACUGAAUGGGCUAGGGGCCAAGGAGGUUACCGAACCCUAUCAAACUCCGAAUGCCAUAGGCGGGAACCUGGGAGUCAGACCACGGGUGAUAAGAUUCGUGGUCGAGAGGGGAACAGCCCAGACCUCCAGCUAAGGUCCCGAAGGGCAUGUUAAGUGGGGAAGGAAGUGGGACUUCGGAGACAACCAGGAUGUUGGCUUAGAAGCAGCCAUACAUUUAAAGAGUGCGUAACAGCUCACUGGUCGAGAGGUCCUGCGCCGAAAAUGAACGGGGCUAAAACAUGCCACCGAAGCUGGGGCUACCGCGUAAGGCGGUGGGGUAGGGGAGCGUACUGUACGGGGAGAAGGCCGAGUGUAAGCGAGGCUGGACUGUACAGUAGAGAGAAUGCCGGCAUGAGUAACGAGAGUAAGGUGAGAAACCUUACCGCCGGAAGCCUAAGGGUUCCUGGGGGAGGGUAAUCCGCCCAGGGUAAGCCGGGACCUAAGCCGAGGCGAGAGCGUAGGCGAUGGAGAAGGGGUAGAGAAUCCCCUGCCACCGAGCAGGGAAGCGAAGGGGUGACGCAGGAGGGUAGGCUGAGCGCGCGGUUGGUAGAGCGCGUCCAAGCCAGUAGGGUGCAGGAUAGGCAAAUCCGUCCUGCGUAGGGCCUGAGAGGGCGAAGGGGAGGGAAAGAGAGUACCGAAGCAGCCGAGCCCAGACUGCCGAGAAAAGCCUCUAAGCGGUAAACUGCUUGGUGCCCGUACCGGAAACCGACACAGGUAGGCGAGGAGAGUAUCCACAGGCGAGCGGGGGAACCCUCAUUAAGGAACUCGGCAAAAUGGCCCCGUAACUUAGGGAGAAGGGGUACCCAUUGGGGUAUAGGCCGAGCGCUGAAAGCCCUGAUGGGUCGCAGAGGAGAGGCCCAAGCGACUGUUUACCAAAAACACAGGUCUCUGCUAAGUCGGAAGACGAAGUAUAGGGGCUGACGCCUGCCCGGUGCUGGAAGGUUAAGGGGAGGGGUUAAAGCUCUGAACCGAAGCCCCAGUGAACGGCGGCCGUAACUAUAACGGUCCUAAGGUAGCGAAAUUCCUUGUCGGGUAAGUUCCGACCCGCACGAAAGGCGUAACGACUUGGGCGCUGUCUUGAUGAGGGGCCCGGUGAAAUUGUAGUACUCGUGAAGAUGCGAGUUACCCGCGAUUGGACAGAAAGACCCCGUGGAGCUUUACUGCAGCCUGUCACUGGAUGCUGGUAGUUUCUGUACAGGAUAGGUGGGAGACGUAGAAGGUAGGGCGCGAGCCUUACUGGAGUCGGCGGUGGGAUACCACCCUGGGACUACUGGGAUUCUAACCUAUAGCCGAGGAGCCGGCGUAGGGACAAUGGCAGGUGGGCAGUUUGACUGGGGCGGUCGCCUCCUAAAGGGUAACGGAGGCGCCCAAAGGUUACCUCAGCGCGGACGGGAAUCGCGCGGGAGAGUGCAAAGGCAGAAGGUAGCCUGACUGUGAGAGGGACACCUCGAGCAGGGACGAAAGUCGGGCUUAGUGAUCCGGCGGCAGUGAGUGGGGACGCCGUCGCUCAACGGAUAAAAGCUACCCCGGGGAUAACAGGCUGAUCUCCCCCAAGAGUCCACAUCGACGGGGAGGUUUGGCACCUCGAUGUCGGCUCAUCGCAUCCUGGGGCUGAAGUAGGUCCCAAGGGUUGGGCUGUUCGCCCAUUAAAGCGGUACGUGAGCUGGGUUCAGAACGUCGUGAGACAGUUCGGUCCCUAUCCGUCGCGGGCGUAGGAAACUUGAGAGGGACUGCCCCUAGUACGAGAGGACCGGGGUGGACGAACCGAUGGUGUACCAGUUGUUCCGCCAGGGGCACAGCUGGGUAGCCAAGUUCGGAAGGGAUAAGCGCUGAAAGCAUCUAAGCGCGAAGCCCGCCUCAAGACAAGGUUUCCCACCCGUAAGGGGGUAAGACACCUCGAAGACGACGAGGUAGAUAGGCCGGGGGUGUAAGAGUGGUAACACUCUUAGCUGACCGGUACUAAUCAGUCGAGGACUUGACCAU
Molecule: ribosomal RNA, 2971 nt
Filed under: Thermoanaerobacter mathranii subsp. mathranii
Lineage: Bacteria; Bacillati; Bacillota; Clostridia; Thermoanaerobacterales; Thermoanaerobacteraceae
Also listed under: 1 other name
Description: 23S ribosomal RNA
Rfam family: Bacterial large subunit ribosomal RNA
Source: RNAcentral